Molecule: small nucleolar RNA, 106 nt
Filed under: Corchorus olitorius
Lineage: Eukaryota; Viridiplantae; Streptophyta; Magnoliopsida; Malvales; Malvaceae
Description: Plant small nucleolar RNA R71
Rfam family: Plant small nucleolar RNA R71
About the family: R71 is a member of the C/D box family of snoRNAs containing the C (UGAUGA) and D (CUGA) box motifs. Multiple nearly identical copies of this snoRNA have been identified in Arabidopsis, and it is thought to function as a 2'-O-ribose methylation guide for 18S ribosomal RNA.
Source: Rfam by way of RNAcentral
UACUGAUGUUGAGGGCAUUGGCUAAGUAAUUCUCUAUAUCUUUCCCAAGCCUCAUGUAAUUCUUCAUCCUCCUGCUGUUUGAAAUCAUGAAUAUGUCUUCUCAGCU